GGGGGGGGGGGGGGGGGGGGGGGGGGGGGGGGGGGGGGGGGGGGGGGGGGGGGGCGGGGGUUUGUGAUGUUGGCGGGGGACGGGUGAGUGACCCGUGGGGGGGCUACCUGUACGACGGGGGUAACUUCGGGGAGCCGGGGCUGCUACCGGGACAUAGUUUGAACCGCAUGUGUCACAGGUGCACGCCGGUGUUGCUGUCGCUUAUAGAUGCAUCCGCGCUGCCUUAGCUAGUUGGUAAGGUAACGGCCUACCACGGCAACGACGCAUAGCCGACCUGAGAGGGUGAUCGGCCACACUGGAACUGAGACACGGUCCAGACUCCUACGGGAGGCAGCAGGAGGGAAUCUUCCGAAAUGGGCGAAAGCCUGACGGAGCAACGCCGCGUGAGUGAUGAAGGUCUUCGGAUCGUAAAACUCUGUUAUUAGGGAAGAACAUAUGUGUAAGUAACUGUGCACAUCUUGACGGUACCUAAUCAGAAAGCCACGGCUAACUACGUG
This 497-nucleotide ribosomal RNA is filed under the name uncultured bacterium. RNAcentral's name for it is "partial 16S ribosomal RNA". It matches the Rfam family "Bacterial small subunit ribosomal RNA", at positions 38 to 507 of the family's 1533-position model. The record is from RNAcentral.